Molecule: long non-coding RNA, 8330 nt
Organism: Homo sapiens (human)
Lineage: Eukaryota; Metazoa; Chordata; Mammalia; Primates; Hominidae
Exons: 3
Source: RefSeq, a predicted model, not a curated record
UUUUUGAGUCCUUAUGUGUCAACCACUGGGCUAUCCCAACACCAAUAGAUAUUAUGAUUAUGAUUUUCUUUUCCAUUUUAUUGAUGUGGAAACCAACACAUAGAAAGGUAAAGGAACUUGCCAAAGGUGAUGGUCACACAGCCGAAGAACUGUAGAAGUAGCACAGGAAUCCCAGCAAACUCACAGCCAAGCUCUACUUUUCACCUUCACGUCAUACUGUCCUCAGACUAAAACCGUAACUCUGACGUUCCCAAUCAAAAAUCAUACUCAAGGCCGGGUGCGGUGGCUCACGCCUGUCAUCUCAGCACUUUGGGAGGCCAAGGCAGGUGGAUAACCUGAGGUCAGGAGUUCCAGACCAGCCAAGCCAACAUGGUGAAACCCCAUCUCUACUAAAAAUACAAAACUUAGCCAGGUGCAGUGGUGGGUGUCUGUAAUCCCAGCACUUUGGGAGGCUGAGGCAUGAAAAUCACUUGAACCCAGGAGGCAGAAGUUGCAGUGAUCCAUGAUCAUGCCACUGCACACCAGUCUGGGCAAGAGAGUGAGACUCUGUCUCAAAAGAAAAAAAAAACUGUGCUUAAUAAUAGCUUAGAAGUGCACAUAUCUUCUGUGAAGGUUGAUGGACUACAAUUAGCUUCAAAACACAAAUAAGUAACUGUGUUUAAAUGAGGCCUUCUGUGUAAUAGCUAGGGAAAAUCAAUGUAGCUAUUCAUAUUUUGGUUCCCCUUCCAGGCACAGAGAAGUUGCCCAUGACUCUGUGAUCCGUUUUGUCCGAUGAACCAUGAGCAGGAGCAACUUGAGUCACCUCCAGGUGGAAGUGUUAAGAGGCUCUGUGAUCCAGCACAUUCCCUUUCCCCUGAAGUGGUGAUCAAGGACACAUGCAGAGAUGGGGCUUUUGUCAGCCUGGAUCCCUGAGUGAACACAAUGAACAGACCACCCCACAAUGCCCUAACACAGCCCAGACAUGCAACAUGACCAAGAAUAAGCCUCAUUGUGGCCAGACAUGGUGGCUCACACCUGUCAUCCCAGCACUUUGGGAGGCCAAGGCAGGUGGAUCAUUUGAGGUCAGGAGUUCAAGACCAGCCUGGCUAACAUGGUGAAAUCCUGUCUCUACUAAGUAAAAAAAUUAGCCAGACAGUAGUGGCACGGGCCUGUAAUCCCAGCCACUCAGGAGGCAGAGAAUCACUUGAGUCUGGGAGGCAGAGGUGGCAGUGAGCUGAGAUUGCACCACUGCACUCUAGUCUGGGUGACAGAGUGAGACCCUGUCUCAAAAACUAACAAAUACCUCACCGCAUGGAGCCACUGAGAUUUGGGGGUUGUUGUUACUGCAUCAGAACCCAAAUCAUCCUGACCACUAGACUGUCCUAACUAGGGUUUCUUACCAAAAGCAAAGGCAUUUUUAAAGUUCGUGACAUUUAAACAAAAGAGCAAAUACCAAUAUCUGCCACUUUGUCAGGCUAACAAACCCAAACAAAGCCAACAGCCAGAAGUUAAAAGAAACGGAUCAUUAGGUUGAAAACAGAACUGUCAAAACAGGCAAAAUUGACUUUGUUUAGUGAUUGCAAAGAACAUCAGGCAAGACACAGGUGUGGUCAUCAUAUAAUUUAUCACAUGCUUAAUUGCACAUGUUUGACUAAGAAAAACACAAAGUAUUUAAGCUCAUCUGUAGUUCAAAGUGCCUAUCCGUGUAUUUGUCCAUUCAUCCUGAUUUAUUUAUUGAGCAACUCUUUUGUACCAGGCACUGUGCUGGGUGGUGGUAAUGCAAUGAUGAAAAUGGCAGGCAUGGCUCUGCCCUCCAGGAGUUUCUAGGAUACAGAGGGAGACAAACAAAAAAUAAGUAAAUCCAUGAAAGAAGUAUUGGUGGAACCUGCCCCCCAAUAUUUCAAUGUAGGUUCUUUCUGUUUUCCAUAAGUGUCAGCCAGCUGAGAAAUAAAGAGAGACACUACAAAGAGAGGAAUUUUACAGCUGGGCCACUGGGGGUGACAUUACAUAUCAGUAGGACCAUGAUGUCCCCUGAGUCUCAGACCAGCAAGUUCUUAAUUAAGGGUUUCAAAAGGGGAGGCAGUGUAAGAACAGGGAGUAGGUACAAAGAUCACAUGCGUCAAAGGGCAAAAAGCAGAACUACUACUAAGGGUCUAAAAAAGAUCACAUGCUUCUGAGGGAACAGGACAAAGGGCAAAAGCAGAACUACUGAUAAGGGUCCAGCAAAGAUCACAAAGCAAAGGGCAAAAGCAGAACCACUGAUAAGGGUCUACGUUCAUUGGCGCAUGUAUUGUCUUGAUAAACAUCUUAAACAACAGAAAACAGAAAACAAGAGAACCAGUCUGACCACAGAUUUACCAGGGCAGAGUUUUCCUCCACCCUAGUAAGGCUUUGGGUACUACAGGAGACCAGGGCGUAUCUCAGUCCUUAUCUCAACUGUGUAAGACAGACAUUCCCAAAGCGGCCAUUUAUAGACCUCCCCCCAGGAGUGCAUUCCUUUCCCAGGGUAUUAAUAUUCCUUGCUAGGAAAAGAAUUUAGUGAUAUCCCUCCUACCUGCACAUCCUUUUAUAGACUCUCUGCAAGAAGAAACAUAUGGCUCUUUUUGCCUGACCCUGCAGGCAGUCAGACCUUAUGGUUGUCUUCCCUUUUUCCCUAAAAAUCACUGUUAUUCUCUUCUUUUUCAAGGUGCACUGAUUUCAUAUUGUUGAAACACACAUGUUUUAAAAUCAAUUUGUACAGUUAACACAGUUAUCACAGUGGUCCUGAGGUGAUGUACAUCCUUAGCUUAUUAAUAUAACAGGAUUAAGAGAGUAAAGACAGGCAUAAGAAAUUAUAAAAGUAUUAUUUGGGAACUGAUAAAUGUCCAUAAAAUCUUCACAAUUUAUGUUCCUCUGCCACAGCUCCAGCCAGUCCCUCCAUUUGGGGUCCCUGACUUCCCACAACAAGAAAUAAUAAGAGGUUAAGGUGGAGAAGAGCAGGGAAGUCCACUUUAUAAAGGGGUCAGGAAAGAGCUCUCUGUGGAAGCACCAUUUUAGCUGAGACCUAAAGGAUGGUCUAAUUUGGGGAGGUGCAGAGGAAAAUCAUUCCAGGCUGAAGCAGCAAGUGCAAAGGCCCUGUUGUGGAAAAAGGUUUGAAAGUCCAACAAAACAAAAGGAGGCCAGAGUGGCUGAAAUAGAGUAGGCCAAGGGGAGGAGAUAGGAGAGGGCUGGAGAGGCGGCAGGGUCAGGCAGAAGACUCAGGGUCUUGAUUUUAUUCUAUGUGCCAUGGGCAGGAAAGGCAAGGGUGAGACUCAAUGGACACCUUAAGAUCACUGAAGCUGCCAGGUGGGAAAUGGAUUGCUGAGCAUCAAGAGUAGGUGCAGAGGACCAGUUAAGACCAGUUAGGAGGCUGCUGCUGUAGCCCAGCUGGGAUAGCAGUGCCCUAGGCAAAGAUAACAACAGUGAAGUUAAAGAGAGUGGACAAGUUGGGUAAAGUUUAGAAUCACAGGACUUGCUGACUGGAGAAGAGGGCAAAAGCAGAGUUAGCACAACACAUGAGUUAUGACCACCUUGAGCAGCUCAGCAGGGGGUGGUGCCAUUUACAGAACAGAGAUGGCAUGGACAGAGCCCAUGGAGAAGGAGGAGGAAAAAGAGAGUUUGGCUUUGGGUUUUUUUUUAAGACAGGGUCUCUGGCUCUGUCACCCAGGCUGGAGUGCAUUGGUGCGAUCAUAGCUCUUUGCAGCCUCAAACUCCUGGGCUCAAGUGAUCCUCCUGCCUCAGCCUCCCAAGUAGCAGGAUUACAGAUCCUACAGAUGCACUUCACCAUGCCUAGCUAAUUUUUUUUUUUUUUUUUUUUUUUGGUAGAUAGGGAGUCUCACUGUGUUUUCCAGGCUGGCUUCAAACUCCUGGCCUCAAGUAAUCCUCCUGCCUCAGCCUCCCAUAGCACUGGGGUUACAGCCAUCACCUACCACUCCAAGCCAUGAGUUUGGCUUUGGAUGUAACAAGAUGGAGGUGUUCAUGAGUUCACAAGUGGAAAAAACAAGAAAGAAGUUGAGUGUUUAAGACUGCUGUUUGAAGGAGAAGUCUAGCCUCAAGACAAAAGUUCAGGACUCAUAAGCUGAGAAAUGGCACUGAAAAUUAUGCAAAGGGAUGAGCUCAGCUAGCAAACAAGUCCAGAGAGAGCAGAAAGUCCAGAGAGAGCAGCACUGGGCCAUGCACCUGGCCUAAUGCCACCCCACUCCUCCCAAUCCCUGUGUUAUGCUGGAGAGGGUUCAGCCUCUGGUGAGUUUCACCAAACCCCCACAUCUUAUUCUUCUGAGACCGUCUUUAAAAUCCCCUCUUUUAUACUUAGUGAAAUGGGAUUCUCUUUUUCCCAUCCAGCUUAAGCAAAAACUUUUGACUAUGAAAGGAAUGAGGAUGCAUUUAAUAUCUGCUCUGCAUGGCUAAUUCCAUCAAAGAUUUCUCAUUAUUCAUGCCUGGCAGUCUCAUUUUCUUCUUUCGCCUCUCAGAGCAUAGUCAUAGCCUUAAUUAGUGACCUUUUCACCCUUCUAACACCAGUGAUUUUCCCCCAUCUCAGUUCUCAGGAAGUUCUGUUCACAGAAUUAUCUCCUGAAUCCUCACCUGGGGAUAGAAAUUGUUCUCUGUGGCCGUGUCUCCCCCUCUAAUUCUCAUCAAAAAACAGUGAUCUCUGUGCAUCAAAUAUGAAACUCAAGCUUAACAGAUCAUGCUUCUGGCUUCUCUCUCUCUCUGGCCUGUGGGUUAACAGGUUUGCAGCCUUUGCAGAGAAGACACCAAAUUCUCAAGAGGCCAGAGUUUCCAAGAGUGCUGGUCACUCUUGCUCUCUUUCUCCUGCUCAAAAUUCAGCACUAGAGAGUGUUACACCAUUGCACCUGCAGAGGAGUUCAUCUGACUCUAGGGACUACAGAGGAGAGAGACAGACAAACUAACAGACAUUCAGAAAAGGGCUACCACAAUGGGGAAGAAAAUGAAAGUCAAACCAAAUAAGCAAUGGUCAAAAAAAAAAAUCUAGAGGGCAGCUGCAGUGGCUCACAUCUGUAAUCCCAGCACUUUGGGAGGCCGAGGCAGGUGGAUCACUUGAGAUCAGGAGUUCAAGACCAGCCUGGGCAACAUAGUGAAAUCACAUCUCUACUAAAAAUACAAAAAUUAGCCAGGUGUGGUGGUGGGAGCCUGUAAUGUCAGCAUUUUGUGAGGCUGAGGUGGGUGGAUCACCUGAUGUCAGGAGUUUGAGACCAGCCUGGCCAACAUGGUAAAACCCUAUUUCUAUUAAAAAAUACAAAAAUUAGCCAGGUGUGGUGGCAGGUGCCUGUAAUCCCAGGUACUUGGGAGGCUGAGGCAGGAGAAUUGCUUGAACCCAGGAGGCAGAGGUUGCAGUGAGCAAAGAUUGCACCACUGCACUCCAGCCUGGGCAACAUUGAGACAUUGUCUGGAAAAAAAAAAAACAAAAAACCUAGAAAUGUCCAUCCAGGCUGAAGAGAAUAUUCCAGAGCAGGGGUUGGGAUACUAUGGCCCAUGGCCAAAUCUGACCUGCAUGCACAUGUUUUUGUAAAUAAAGUUUUAUUGAAACACAGUUAUGCCCAUUUGCUACAUAUUGUCUAUGGCUGCUGGAUUAGGCUGUUCUCUCAUGCUAUAAAGAAAUACCUGAGAUUGGGUAAUGUAUAAAGAAAAGAGGUUUAAUUGGCUCACAGUUUUGUAGACUGUACAGGGAAGCAUAACACUGACAUCAGCUGAGCUUCUGUGGAGGCCUCAGGAAACUUACAAUCAUGGCAGAAGGUGAAGUGGGAGCAAGAGAGUGAGGAGGGAGGUGCUACACACUCGUAAACAACCAGAUCUUGCAAGAACUCACUUACUAUUGCAAGGACAGGACCAAAGGGAUGAUGGUAAAUCAUUCAUGAGAAAUCCACCCCCAUGAUCCAAUCUCUUCCCACCAGGCCCCACCUCUAAAACUGGGUAUUACAUUGCAACAUGAGAUUUGGGCGGGGACACAUAUUCAACCUAUAUCAGCUGCUUUCAUGCUAUGGGUGGCAGAGUUGAGUAACUACUACAAGAGACUGUAUGGCCCAAGAAUUGUAAAAUAUUUACUAUCUGAUGCUUUCAAGAAAGUUUGCAAAGCCUGCUCUUGAAAAGGAAUGGAAGGAAGAGGAGAGGAGGAAGGCAGGAAGGAGCAGAGAGGGACACGGGGCUGUAUUCAAACAUCUGUUGUUAAGAAAGAGAAAUUCAAUUUAUUUGGCAUGGCCCAAGUUAUCAAACUAGGAGCACUCCAUUGAAGUUUCAGAACAAACACUGUGCUGAAUAUAAGGAUGACCCCAUCUGUAAUGCCUAACCUUGUUUUUACUAACUUUGUUGGUAGACUUUCCUUUUCUUUUAAUCACUUAGCCUUGUUUCUACCUGAAUUGACUUUCUUUUAGCUAAGAGAGCUAGAUAGACUUUGUCUUGGCUUUUUCACUGGCAGCCCCUUCCUCAAGGACUUAACUUGUGCAAGCUGACUCUUAGCACCUCUAAGAAUGCAAUUAAGUGAUAAGAUACUGUGGGACGAGCAAUAUCCGCAGUUACUAGGAAUUUGUCUGAUUGAUAACACCCAAAGCCCCGCGUCUAUCACUUUGUAAUAGUCUUAAAGCCCUUAGACCUAGAAUUGUUUACUUUCCUGUAACAAUUUAUCCUUUUAACUUCUUUGCCUACUUCUGUAAAAUUGUUUUAACUAGACCCCUUUCCCCUUUCUAAACUAAAGUAUAAAUGAAAAUCUAGCCCCUUCUUCAGGGCCGAGAGAACUUUAAGCAUUAGCUGUAUCUUGGCCACCGGCUAAAUAGACUCAUAAUUCGUCUCAAAGUGUGGCAUUUUCUCUAACUCGCUCAAGUACAACAUUUGGAGGCCCCAGUGAGAAACGCCACCAGGCGAGAGCCAGGCUUGCUCCGGCCCCCCCCGGAAGAACGGCCGGAUUGUAGUGGGGGCGCCACUUGAAAAAAAAUUUUCAGGUCCCUGAAAGGUGACCGUCUUCCAGAGGAAAGCGGAUCGACUACCGUGUGGGUGCCCACAAAAAUUCCACCUCUGAGUCCUCAACUUCUGACCCUGAGGUCAGGUAGGUCAGAUUUGACUUCAGUUCUAGUAAGAGGGAAGCGGCCCUUAUGAGGGCAUCCCUCUUUUGACUCUGCCCAUUUCUCUAGGACGCUAGAAGGCAGAGCCCUGGUUUUCUGUUAGGCACCUCUGUGUCUCUGUCUAGGAGGGAAGUGGCCCUGAUAGGGGCCCUCCCUUGACUCAGUCCACAUCCCAGGAUGCUGGAGGACUGAGUCCUGGUUUCUGGCAGACCGGUCACUCUCUCUCUCGCUCUCUUUUUCUAUCUCUCAUCUUUCUCUUGUUCCAGUUUCUUGAAGAAUCUCCAAGAAAGAAAAAAAAACUGUUUUAAACUCUGUGUGAAUAAUGAAUGAAUGAGGGAGGACAAGGGCUUGCGCUUGUCCUCCAGUUUGUAGCUCCACGGCGAAAGCUACGGAGUUCAAGUGGGCCCUCACCUGCGAUUCCGUGGCGACCUCUUAAGGCUUAAGGACAGCAUCAGGCAUAGCUCGAUCUGAGCCGGAAGUUUAUACCGGGCUGCCAAUGCUAAGAGGAGCCCAAGUCCCCUCAGGGGGAGCGGCCAGGCAGGCAUCUGACUGAUCCCAUCACAGGACCCCCUCCCCUUGUCUGUCUAAAAAAAAAAAAAAAAGGAAGAAACUUUCAUAACUGUUUACAUGCCCUAAAGUCAAUUGUUUAUGUUGAUUGUUCUGUUCAGUGUCUACUGUCUUGUUAGUAGUUGUCAAAGUUUUGCAUGUCAAGACGUUGAUAUUGCCCAAGACAUCUAAGUAAAAACUUCUUCAAAGUCCUUAGUGCUGAUUUUUUUGUCACAGGAGGUUAAAUUUCUCAUCAAUCGUUUAGGCUGGCCACCACAGUCCUGUCUUUUCUGCCAGAAGCAAGUCAAGUGUUGUUACAAGAACAAGAGUGAAAAACAUUUGCCUGAUUAAGAUUUCUAGCACCAUGAAAGUUAUCCUUCGUAGAAAUUCCUAAGGCUCAAUGCUGUGUGGAAGUUUCUAAGAAAGAAAAUAGUUUCCCAUCUUUGGGAUUCCCCUGAGAUGGUCCAAUCUGCAAAAAGUUCAUUGCCAUUUCCAUCAAGGACACUGAGAACAACAGUCUUAUCCGGAUUGGAUCCUGGGAAUUGAGAAGCUUCAACAAGUGGGAAAUGCACCCUCCACAGGGCUUCCGCUGGGACUAGGAUCAGGAUGUGGACACCCCCAAUCUGGACCGUCUAGCCGGGGAGGGCGUCAAGGCCAGGUACCUCAUGCCACCCUUUGUCACGAUGACCUCCCGGUCCCGCUUCACCGCCAUCCCGG